Long non-coding RNA from Ctenopharyngodon idella (grass carp), 1848 nucleotides. RefSeq lists it as uncharacterized. The record is from RefSeq and is a predicted model, not a curated record. NCBI's taxonomy places the organism in Eukaryota, Metazoa, Chordata, Actinopteri, Cypriniformes, Xenocyprididae. The transcript is spliced from 4 exons.
ACAAAAUCAAAGUAACCGCAUUAACUUUCCCCCCUCAUACACAUAGUCUCCCCACCGCUGAGGGAGAAUGUAUUAGUGCUGCCUCAUUUGCACUGCCUCAGAGCAGGGAUUUCAUGUGAGACGUGUGUAUCAGUGCAGCAACCCUCCCGGGAAGAACGAAAGGACUUCACUCUGACAGAAAUCUGUGUCAUUUAGAACAAUCCUUCAUAAAACCGGCAAGAAAAGAAUUCCUCGAGUGAAAAAUGAGAAGCUAAUUGAGUCUCAUAUUUCAGUUGUGUCUUAAUUUCCACCGAACGGUGCCUCAUUUCACCUUUUUAAUGGGGCUUAUGUAUUAUAAAGUGUGCGUGGGGGUGUCAUUUUGUGCUAAGCGGGAUGCGAGGUUAGCAUUUCAGGGCUUGGAAGCUUGCAGAGAUGCGUUCUCGGUUGUUUUUCGAAGCUGAAUCUACUGCAACAAAGCAGGGCGGAUGAGAUGAGUUCUGUUAUGAAACAGUAUAUUAGAUGUGUUUUCAGCUCCCAGAAUGCUUCUGUGACAGCCAAGGCUGAAGUAAAAAGCUUUAGUGGUGUAUCUGACGGGCAGGUUGGGACGGUUACAAGACCAUCCGUCAUGAUCAGGAACAAUAAACAGCCACUCCGAGGCUAGUGGAAAAUCACUACUGGUGGCAGAGAGAGGGAGAAGUUAAGCCACCACUUCUCACCUUCCCUCAGUGGUAGAGGUGAAUGAGAGAUCUGUGUUUGUAGAGAGCGAGGAUAAAACUAACCAGCUGGCAUCCUGGCAGACUCCUUAACCUCAGCUGUUUUUAGGACAAAAAGAGCAACACAAGAGCUGGCUGCCUGCCAUAUCUCACCUAAACAGCUUCCGACUGGCUGGUAGUGCUGCACACCAUCACACCAGAUGAUCUGACAGUAGCUGCUUGCAUCUCAGCCCACCUGACAGACAUUUCCGACUGGAUGAAGGACCACCACCUUCAGCUCAACCUUGCAAAGACAGCUUGCUUGUGAUCUCAGCCAUCCCAACACUUCAUCACAGUUUCUCCAUUCAGCUAGAAACUGUCACUGGCCGGAUGGGAAGGAUGUCAUAACAAGAGGAGGUGGAGAGAAGGCACCUGCAGACCUUUCAUUAUCCAUCCACAGUGUAGCUCUGGAUUCAGAGUCACGGCAGUGCCUCCUCUGUGUGCUCCCUUAGCCGUCAGAAAGUCUUACCGCCCUCCUUCACUUUUCAAACAACCCACAGGUCCUCGGCUUCACAAAGGACCCCGUGGAUGGAGCGUGACAGCCCCCGCAAAACUGUCUCCCUCAUUCUAGCUACAGACAGGAAAACAACUCGGAGAUGGUGUUCAUAGCACUGAGUGAAUCAUACGUGUCAAAUGUAAGCAGAGAUGACAGAUUUAUGUGAUAUAAACUCUGGAAAAGUUUGUAUUACAGUGUCAAAUUCACACAUAAUUAAUGAUGAAAUGCAUCAAUGAUAUUGUCCAAAUGAAGAUUCUGCUAAAUAAAUAUAUUUUAAAGUUAAUGAGACAACACAUUAACAUAUAUAUAUAUAUAUAUAUUAUAUAUAUAACUGUUAGUUCCUGUCCUUGAAUCUGAUUGGCCAAUAGCUGUGUUUUAUUCACGAUAAAGCACGGCUAUGACCUGCUUCACCCAACGGUUCAGUGUAUCACUACACCCUUAGCAACCACUCUUAGCAAUGUAAACUGUUUGUUCUCAAUUGAUAUUGUUUAUUGAAGCUUACUGUAUUAUGUAGAAGAAUAUUGUGAGAAAGAGAUUGAGUGAGCGAAUUUAUUACCUGCAUUCAGAUUUAACAUUUUCCUUCAGGUCAGUCCUAUGUUCAUAAUAAAAAAUCUGUUUAUA